CGGCCUACGGGGCGCAGCAGUGGGGGAUAUUGCACAAUGGGGGGAACCCUGAUGCAGCGACGCCGCGUGGGUGAAGAAGCGUUUCGGCGCGUAAAGCCCUGUCAGCAGGGAAGAAGAUGACGGUACCUGACCAAGAAGCCCCGGCUAACUACGUGCCAGCAGCCGCGGUAAUACGUAGGGGGCAAGCGUUAUCCGGAUUUACUGGGUGUAAAGGGGGCGCAGACGGCGAUGCAAGCCAGGAGUGAAAGCCCGGGGCCCAACCCCGGGACUGCUCUUGGAACUGCGUGGCUGGAGUGCAGGAGGGG
RNAcentral lists this ribosomal RNA (305 nucleotides) under uncultured bacterium. Its description in RNAcentral is "bacterial SSU rRNA". It matches the Rfam family "Bacterial small subunit ribosomal RNA", at positions 335 to 657 of the family's 1533-position model. The record is from RNAcentral.